This 498-nucleotide ribosomal RNA is filed under the name uncultured bacterium. RNAcentral's name for it is "partial 16S ribosomal RNA". It matches the Rfam family "Bacterial small subunit ribosomal RNA", at positions 28 to 507 of the family's 1533-position model. The record is from RNAcentral.
GAUGAACGCUGGCGGCGUGCCUAAUACAUGCAAGUCGAGCGAUCAGACGCGAAACUUGCCUCUCUGAUGUUAGCGGCGCGCGUGAGUGAAACGCAUGUAUCACCUCCCUAUGAGUCUGGGAUCACUUCGGGAAAUCGGAGCUAAUACCAUAUAAUAAUUUGAACCGCAUGGUUUAAAAGCUCAAGACGGUUGUGCUGCCACUUAUAGAUGGUGCCGUGGUUCAGUAGCUAGUUGAUAAGGUAACGGCUUACCAAGGCAACGGAGCAUAGCCGACCUGGGAGGGUGAUCGGCCAAACUGGGAAUGGGACAAGGGCCAGACUCCUACGGGAGGCAGCAGGAGGGAAUCUUCGGAAAUGGGCGGAAGCCUGACGGAGCAACGCCGCGUGAGUGAAGAAGGUCUUCGGAUCGUAAAACUCUGUUAUUAGGGAAGAACAUGUGUGUGAGUAACAGGGGGCAUCUUUGACGGUACUAAACAAAAAAGCACGGGCUAACUCCGUG